Molecule: transfer RNA, 76 nt
Filed under: Vibrio parahaemolyticus
Lineage: Bacteria; Pseudomonadati; Pseudomonadota; Gammaproteobacteria; Vibrionales; Vibrionaceae
Also listed under: 2 other names
Description: tRNA-Gly
Rfam family: tRNA
About the family: Transfer RNA (tRNA) molecules are approximately 80 nucleotides in length. Their secondary structure includes four short double-helical elements and three loops (D, anti-codon, and T loops).
Source: RNAcentral
GCGACACUAGCUCAGUCGGUAGAGCGCAACCUUGCCAAGGUUGAGGUCACGAGUUCGAACCUCGUGUGUCGCUCCA